Macaca fascicularis (crab-eating macaque) is the source of this 148-nucleotide unclassified non-coding RNA. It matches the Rfam family "Metazoan signal recognition particle RNA". Rfam says of the family: The signal recognition particle (SRP) is a universally conserved ribonucleoprotein. It is involved in the co-translational targeting of proteins to membranes. NCBI's taxonomy places the organism in Eukaryota, Metazoa, Chordata, Mammalia, Primates, Cercopithecidae. The record is from Ensembl.
GCUGGAUGUGGUCGCGCACACUUGUAGUCCCAGCUACCUGGGAGGCUGAGAUGGGAGGAUCACCUGAGCCCAGGAGGUCAAGGUUGCAGUGAGCCAUGAUCAUGCCACUGCACUCCAGCCUGGGCAACAGAGUGAGAUCCUGUCUCCA